This 25-nucleotide non-coding RNA is filed under the name Rattus norvegicus (Norway rat). Lineage: Eukaryota; Metazoa; Chordata; Mammalia; Rodentia; Muridae. The record is from RNAcentral.
UCCUAGUGCGCUGGGCAGUGGAGGU